GUCCAAUGAUGAAUUUUUGCCAUGCUAAUUCUGAUUUUUUCAUGAUCAAACUUUUUAAAAAUUUUCUGAGGACU
Small nucleolar RNA from Daktulosphaira vitifoliae (grape phylloxera), 74 nucleotides. RefSeq annotates it as small nucleolar RNA snoR53Y. Lineage: Eukaryota; Metazoa; Arthropoda; Insecta; Hemiptera; Phylloxeridae. The transcript has a single exon. The record is from RefSeq and is a predicted model, not a curated record.